AGUGAACGCUGGCGGUAGGCCUAACACAUGCAAGUCGAACGGCAGCACAGUAAGAGCUUGCUCUUACGGGUGGCGAGUGGCGGACGGGUGAGGAAUACAUCGGAAUCUACUUUUUCGUGGGGGAUAACGUAGGGAAACUUACGCUAAUACCGCAUACGACCUACGGGUGAAAGCGGGGGAUCUUCGGACCUUGCGCGAUUGAAUGAGCCGAUGUCGGAUUAGCUAGUUGGCGGGGUAAAGGCCCACCAAGGCGACGAUCCGUAGCUGGUCUGAGAGGAUGAUCAGCCCCACUGGAACUGAGACACGGUCCAGACUCCUACGGGAGGCAGCAGUGGGGAAUAUUGGACAAUGGGCGCAAGCCUGAUCCAGCCAUACCGCGUGGGUGAAGAAGGCCUUCGGGUUGUAAAGCCCUUUUGUUGGGAAAGAAAAGCAGCAGGUUAAUACCCCGCUGUUCUGACGGUACCCAAAGAAUAAGCACCGGCUAACUUCGUG
This 492-nucleotide ribosomal RNA is filed under the name uncultured bacterium. RNAcentral describes it as "partial 16S ribosomal RNA". It matches the Rfam family "Bacterial small subunit ribosomal RNA", at positions 29 to 507 of the family's 1533-position model. The record is from RNAcentral.